RNAcentral lists this unclassified non-coding RNA (2033 nucleotides) under Hevea brasiliensis (rubber tree). Lineage: Eukaryota; Viridiplantae; Streptophyta; Magnoliopsida; Malpighiales; Euphorbiaceae. The record is from RNAcentral.
CGCGUUAGCAUGGUAGCAACAUCAUUGUGAUCCAAGAAAAGUCCAUGCCAGUAGUGCAUAUUUGUUUAAGCACAAUCAAUCCCAUAGCUCUAAAUAAGUACAUUCUUUAAACUGCUAUAUCAACCAAAGCAGCCUUCCCUCAUCUUUUCCAUUAUACCAUUUUCUCUUUUAUUUGUUUUGCUUUCUAACGCUGUAUUCUCUCUUUCUCUUCUAACUUUUGAUUCUCACAGCAUCUAAGGCCAAGGAUGUCUCGCAGUUGCUCACAGUGUGGAAAUAAUGGCCAUAACUCUCGGACAUGCAGGGAGAGUCCUGCUGCUGCUGGUCCUAUUGGUGGUGGCGCCGCCUCCUCUUCUGCCGCCACAGGAGGAGAGAAUGGUAUCAUGCUUUUUGGUGUCAGAGUCACUACUGAAGGUGCCUCCUUUCGAAAGAGCGUUAGUAUGAAUAAUCUUUCCCAGUAUGAGCCGCAGCCUCAGGACCCCAACGCUGAUGUUGCAGCCGGUUAUGAAUCUGACGACGUCGUUCACGCCUCAGGCAGGAGCCGCGAGCGAAAGAGAGGGGUGCCAUGGUCUGAGGAAGAACACAAGCUUUUCCUGUUAGGGUUGCAGAAAGUAGGGAAAGGAGACUGGAGAGGAAUUUCAAGAAACUUUGUGAAGACACGUACGCCUACCCAGGUGGCUAGUCAUGCUCAAAAGUACUUUCUCCGGCGAAACAACCAAAAUCAUCGCCGCCGCCGCCGAUCUAGUCUCUUUGACAUCACCACUGAUACAUUCUUGGGUUCAUCAAUGGAAGAAGAGCAAGUCCACCAAGAAACUGCAACUGUACCACUGCCACCACAGCCACACUUCAGCAAUACUCUUGUAGGAUUCCCCAUGUCAACUUUCCCAGUAUCGCUUAGCCCUGCAGUAUUAGAGGUUGCCGGCGACAACACGAUGGAGAACCUCUCAUUAGGAUCAAGCAACGCCAAACUGAAGACAUCACCGAAGCUCAUUCGUCCAAUACCAAUUAUUCCAGUUCCUCCAUCUUCAAAAAUGGCUGAUCUUAACUUGAACCAGAAGAGUCCUACCAUAGAACCCGUACCACUGUCACUGAAGCUCUCUACUCCUUCCUCAGAAGAGCAGUCGCCGGCGGCAACGACAGCGACAGCGACAGCGACACACUCUUCAACUUUUCAGGCCAUGUCAGGUGGAGACAGCGUCAUUAGUGUUGCUUGAAGAAUAUGUUGUGCAUAUGGGGUGGGGCAGGAGCUGUAAAGGUGUUGUUUAAUCGCUGUAGAAAUAGAACAUAUGUGAUUAGCUAAUAAUUAAAAUGAGAAGGGAAAGGAUUAAUUAGGAGAAAAAUAGCUAGGCUGAUUAUUAUUAUCAUUAGAUUAUUACUAUUAGGUGAUUCCUUGUUUGUACAGGUUGAGGGGAAGAAAAUAAAAAGAAGAUGGGACGUCGUUUUCUUUUGUGGGGAAGACAUAUUGGAUUCUUGUUUAUUUUGUCUGCUUGCUUUUUGCGGUGAAGGGAUAGGGGGCCCAGCACUCUUAGCAUUCAAUAUGGUCUUCUUCUGCUACUAGUAAUGGUAGGCUAGCUGAUGUUGUUUUAGGACUUCGAUCAGGGGAACAAAAUAUCUGAUGAAGAAGCUUAUAAUAUAUAUUCUGUUAAUGUGAAUUUCCAAUUCGAUGCUUUGGUCUUGUGUUUUACGUGAUGAAGAAUGAUUUGGAUUUCCUUUCAUUCAUUUACUUUAAGGAAAGAGACACCGCAAACAGGUAUCUAUGACUUUGUAAUCAUUUUUGUCCAGACUGAUAAUCAAGUUAGGGGCAAGCUUCUGUGGCUAUCCUAAGCCAAGAAUCCACAAGUUGGGCUCAUUUAUUGUAACCAUAUUUGUCCAAACUAGGAGUCCCGAUGGAGGUAAACUCCUGUGUCCAAACUUUUAUAUAGAAUCUCUAUCAGAUUCUGGGUUUGAUUUUAUCAGAGGGAAAUGAGAAAGCUUUUUCUGGUGGUUUGAUUUUCUGCUGUUUCACAUUUUCUUUUUUAUUUUCAUUUUUCAAUUUU